Molecule: non-coding RNA, 471 nt
Organism: Pelobates cultripes (western spadefoot toad)
Lineage: Eukaryota; Metazoa; Chordata; Amphibia; Anura; Pelobatidae
Source: the annotation of a GenBank genome assembly
UAGCUCGUCUAUCUUUUUCACCUCACUUAUGCACUAAGGGACACUUUGUUGCACUAUGGGCUUUUAGACCCACUUAUUAUUUUUCAGUGCUACUCCUAACCAGUAUUGGUUAUGGCAGAUCAGGCAGGUUACUCCCAAGAUUUAGACUUAGCUUAGAACACCCUCGAAGGUGUUUCCAGGAGAUUAGGGACUAGUUUUGAGGAUUUUUUUCGCUGGGAAUUUUCUCUAAUAUUUUACAAUUCCUCCACUAGCCCAGCUCCACUGGUUAUAAGCUUUAUUAUAGACACAGAUAGGAUCUUUUGCUGUUUGGGGAUACAUAUUAUUCUAUCUCCCCUUCCUCUAAUAAUUUUAGCACUACCAUUGUGUCUUCCUGCCUGCACCCAUAUAUUUAGAGGGUUGUGCUUACUCCCCCUAUAGGUAUAAAAUAGGUACUUCCAAUUACUAUUCUUUAGCAUAGGAUUAAUCUUCUCA